Molecule: long non-coding RNA, 931 nt
Organism: Dicentrarchus labrax (European seabass)
Lineage: Eukaryota; Metazoa; Chordata; Actinopteri; Moronidae
Exons: 5
Source: RefSeq, a predicted model, not a curated record
GGCUGAGUCGUUGACAUUUGCUGCUCCAGGCGACUGAACGGACAACAGAGGAGCUCCAGGACCCCAAACAGAAGUCCAUUAAGUAUUUUUUCUUCUUCUUCUGAACUUCUUCCAGGAUGCUUCCUGUGAGGAUCAGUCAGUCCCUUAACCUUCAGUUUGGGGCGUUCACUGUCCUGGUCUUCCACCCUGUCUUCCUCAGCCUGAUACACUCAUGUAGAGGUCAGCAUCAGGUGGUUGGUCCGUCUCAGCCAAUAGUAGCAAUGGUUGGUGAGGACGUCAUUUUGCCGUGUCACCUGCACCCUGUCAUGGAUGCUUUUAACAUGUUUCUGGAGUGGGGAGACCUGACCUGAGCCCUAGAUUUGUUCUCGUUUGGCGUGGCAGUGUGGAACUAAGGAGUAUAAAACAUCCGUCCUAUAAGGGAAGAACAUCUCUGUUCACUGAUCAGCUGAAGCAGGAAACAUUUCACUGAAACUCUCCAAAGUGAAACUAUCUGAUGAGGGAAGAUACAGAUUCUUCAGUCCACAACUGGGAGAGACUGCUGUUCAGCUGGUUGUAGGUGCUGUCUCCUCACCAGUUACCCACAUGAUCACAAACAGCAGUAGUGUGGUUCUACACUGUGAGUCUAAAGGCUGGUAUCCAGAGCCUGAGGUGGUCUGGCUGGACGUUGAGAAACCUCACUCUGCUGGACCUACAGAGACAGUCAGAGGUCCUGAUGACCUCUAUACUGUCAGCAGCAGAGUGACUGUGGAGAAGAGACACAGCAACAACUUCACCUGUAGAGUCCAGCAGAAGGACAUCAACCAGACCAGAGAGACACACAUCUAUGUUCCAGGCCGGUCUGGUUCCAGUUCAUCUGCUCGUAACAUUAUUCGCUUGGUUGUUGGCAUCAUGUUAGCUCUUGCAGUUGUCUUUCUUGUGAAGAAAAUCAGUA